Molecule: ribosomal RNA, 212 nt
Filed under: uncultured bacterium
Lineage: Bacteria
Description: partial 16S ribosomal RNA
Rfam family: Bacterial small subunit ribosomal RNA
Source: RNAcentral
CUGGAAUAACUAGAGGAAACUCUAGCUAAUGCCGGAUAAGACCACAGCCUCCUCGGGGGCAGUGGCCAAAGGCGGCCUCUUCUUGAAAGCUGUCGCCAUGGGAUGAGCCUGCGGCCCAUUAGCUUGUUGGUGAGGUAACGGCUCACCAAGGCCAUGAUGGGUAGCUGGUCUGAGAGGAUGAUCAGCCACACUGGGACUGAGACACGGCCCAG